This 332-nucleotide unclassified non-coding RNA is filed under the name soil metagenome. RNAcentral describes it as "partial contains 5.8S ribosomal RNA, internal transcribed spacer 2, and large subunit ribosomal RNA". The stretch from base 1 to 120 matches the Rfam family "5.8S ribosomal RNA", at positions 35 to 154 of the family's 154-position model. The record is from RNAcentral.
GAUGAAGAACGUAGCGAAAUGCGAUAAGUAAUGUGAAUUGCAGAAUUCAGUGAAUCAUCGAAUCUUUGAACGCACAUUGCGCCCCCUGGUAUUCCGGGGGGCAUGCCUGUUCGAGCGUCAUUUCACCACUCAAGCCUCGCUUGGUAUUGGGCGACGCGGUCCGACGCGCGCCUCAAAUCGACCGGCUGGGUCUUCCGUCCCCUCAGCGUUGUGGAAACUAUUCGCUAAAGGGUGCCGCGGGAGGUCACGCCGCAAAACAACCCCAUUUCUAAGGUUGACCUCGGAUCAGGUAGGGAUACCCGCUGAACUUAAGCAUAUCAAUAAGCGGAGGA